AAAAGAUUAGUUUCAAGAUUAAAACAUUAGCUUGUCAAGCUAAAAAUAUUUUAUAAAUAUCUUUUG
This 66-nucleotide transfer RNA is filed under the name Clavigralla tomentosicollis. RNAcentral's name for it is "tRNA-Asp". It matches the Rfam family "tRNA". From Rfam's summary of the family: Transfer RNA (tRNA) molecules are approximately 80 nucleotides in length. Their secondary structure includes four short double-helical elements and three loops (D, anti-codon, and T loops). Further hydrogen bonds mediate the characteristic L-shaped molecular structure. tRNAs have two regions of fundamental functional importance: the anti-codon, which is responsible for specific mRNA codon recognition, and the 3' end, to which the tRNAs corresponding amino acid is attached (by aminoacyl-tRNA synthetases). tRNAs cope with the degeneracy of the genetic code in two manners: having more than one tRNA (with a specific anti-codon) for a particular amino acid; and 'wobble' base-pairing, i.e. permitting non-standard base-pairing at the 3rd anti-codon position. Lineage: Eukaryota; Metazoa; Arthropoda; Insecta; Hemiptera; Coreidae. The record is from RNAcentral.